AUUGAACGCUGGCGGCAGGCCUAACACAUGCAAGUCGAGCGGAUGAAGGGAGCUUACUCCUGGAUUCAGCGGCGGACGGGUGAGUAAUGCCUAGGAAUCUGCCUGGUAGUGGGGGAUAACGUCCGGAAACGGGCGCUAAUACCGCAUACGUCCUGAGGGAGAAAGUGGGGGAUCUUCGGACCUCACGCUAUCAGAUGAGCCUAGGUCGGAUUAGCUAGUUGGUGGGGUAAAGGCCUACCAAGGCGACGAUCCGUAACUGGUCUGAGAGGAUGAUCAGUCACACUGGAACUGAGACACGGUCCAGACUCCUACGGGAGGCAGCAGUGGGGAAUAUUGGACAAAGGGCGAAAGCCUGAUCCAGCCAUGCCGCGUGUGUGAAGAAGGUCUUCGGAUUGUAAAGCACUUUAAGUUGGGAGGAAGGGCAGUAAGUUAAUACCUUGCUGUUUUGACGUUACCAACAGAAUAAGCACCGGCUAACUUCGUG
This 484-nucleotide ribosomal RNA is filed under the name uncultured bacterium. Its description in RNAcentral is "partial 16S ribosomal RNA". It matches the Rfam family "Bacterial small subunit ribosomal RNA", at positions 30 to 507 of the family's 1533-position model. The record is from RNAcentral.